GAUGAACGCUGGCGGCGUGCUUAACACAUGCAAGUCGAACGAAGCACUUUAACCUGAUUCUUCGGAUGAAGGUUUUUGUGACUGAGUGGCGGACGGGUGAGUAACGCGUGGGUAACCUGCCUCAUACAGGGGGAUAACAGUUAGAAAUGACUGCUAAUACCGCAUAAGACCACAGAGCCGCAUGGCUCGGUGGGAAAAACUCCGGUGGUAUGAGAUGGACCCGCGUCUGAUUAGGUAGUUGGUGGGGUAACGGCCUACCAAGCCAACGAUCAGUAGCCGACCUGAGAGGGUGGCCGGCCACAUUGGGACUGAGACACGGCCCAAACUCCUACGGGAGGCAGCAGUGGGGAAUAUUGCACAAUGGGGGAAACCCUGAUGCAGCGACGCCGCGUGAGCGAAGAAGUAUUUCGGUAUGUAAAGCUCUAUCAGCAGGGAAGAAAAUGACGGUACCUGACUAAGAAGCACCGGCUAAAUACGUG
RNAcentral lists this ribosomal RNA (479 nucleotides) under uncultured bacterium. RNAcentral's name for it is "partial 16S ribosomal RNA". It matches the Rfam family "Bacterial small subunit ribosomal RNA", at positions 28 to 507 of the family's 1533-position model. The record is from RNAcentral.